CAAAGCAUUUAGAGCAAAUCUGACACCAGUAAAAUUGUUCAUCAGGUCAAGAUCUAUCUGCCCUGAAAUUUUCAGAUGAAUCAGACAUUCCGUUGUUGGGUUGCUGCCCUGAAAAUGGUAAUUUUAAGGAAAUUUUGCUGUUUUUGGUUAUUAUCUUGAAUAUAAUUAUAGAUAGAGAUAAACUGUAAACAGCAAUAAUGUUCAGCAAAGUAAGAUUUACAAAUAAG
Molecule: long non-coding RNA, 227 nt
Filed under: Mytilus galloprovincialis (Mediterranean mussel)
Lineage: Eukaryota; Metazoa; Mollusca; Bivalvia; Mytilida; Mytilidae
Source: RNAcentral